ACCGCCGCCUCCUGCUCAUGCCUCCUUGUCCUCGCGCCGCCGACGCACCAAUUCACGGAGUUGCUCCGUCGCCCCAACGUUGCCAGAUGCCGGCCACCACCUCCAUGAUCACCUGCCGCCACUACAACACGCCGCCAACUACACGAUCUUCGCCGUGCUAACGCUACGGCCGCAUGCCAUCCUGGGAGGAAGCGGCGGCCACAGGGGAGCCACAUGCCGGGGAGUGUGUGGCUACCACGGUGAUCUUGAUGCUUGGGAGAGGACGAUGCUGGACAUAUGCCGCUGACCACAAUGAGCUAGGCGGCCACUUACCUUAGAAGACCUUUGAUUCAGUACCUAGAUAGCUUGUUUUCAAAUCUUAUUACUGGUGGUCGCCACCAUUGAUUGCAAAAACUCUGAGGUCAAUCACGGUCCUUCUUUCCUGAGGGCACUAGUUAUCUAUGUUCAUGCACAUUGAAGUAGUGGAUGAUGUCAGUCCGAUAUACUGCAGUGCAAGGAAACAAAGUUCAGGUUUUCAGUUCAUCGAGUCAAAUGGAUGGACAGAUCGUGAAGCAGCUACCAUACGGUUUUUCAAGUUUUUGAAUGUUCAGGUGACGUUUAGUUUUGCUAUUGUUUAAAGCUUAGGAAAUUUUACACAUUGAGGUGGUCGAAAAUGGGACCAAAUACGGAGUGUCAGUCUAUGUGCCCGUCAAUCUCGUAUGUGGCUGUCGCACAUCAUAAGUUGAGGUGGUCGAAAAUGAAAUGUGGUCAUUGCUCAUCCCGUGCUAAGGUGGUAGUACAGUCGUGUUGUGUAAAAGGAGGGUUCACGUGUGUUGGAGGGCCGACAGGAUUUGUCGGAGACACAUGAAAGAGUUUGGACGAAAGAUAACUCAUACAAAAUCUUUA
Long non-coding RNA from Sorghum bicolor (sorghum), 885 nucleotides. RefSeq lists it as uncharacterized. NCBI's taxonomy places the organism in Eukaryota, Viridiplantae, Streptophyta, Magnoliopsida, Poales, Poaceae. The transcript is spliced from 3 exons. The record is from RefSeq and is a predicted model, not a curated record.